AUCCAGAUGACGAGUCCCAAACUGGACGAAAUCUGCAUGCUGGAC
RNAcentral lists this non-coding RNA (45 nucleotides) under Trichobilharzia regenti. The record is from RNAcentral. Lineage: Eukaryota; Metazoa; Platyhelminthes; Trematoda; Strigeidida; Schistosomatidae.